AGAGUUUGAUCCUGGCUCAGAACGAACGCUGGCGGCAGGCCUAACACAUGCAAGUCGAACGAUCCGUGUCCUUCGGGGCACAAUGGAUAGUGGCGCACGGGUGAGUAACGCGUGGGAAUAUGCCCUAGAGUACGGAAUAACCAAGGGAAACUUUGGCUAAUACCGUAUACGCCCUACGGGGGAAAGAUUUAUCGCUCUGGGAUUAGCCCGCGUCUGAUUAGCUUGUUGGUGAGGUAACGGCUCACCAAGGCUACGAUCAGUAGCUGGUUUGAGAGAAUGACCAGUCACACUGGGACUGAGACACGGCCCAGACUCCUACGGGAGGCAGCAGUGGGGAAUAUUGGACAAUGGGGGCAACCCUGAUCCAGCCAUGCCGCGUGAGUGAAGAAGGCCUUCGGGUUGUAAAGCUCUUUCAGCAGGGACGAUGAUGACGGUACCUGCAGAAGAAGCCCCGGCUAACUCCGUGCCAGCAGCCGCGGUAAUACGGAGGGGGCUAGCGUUGUUCGGAAUUACUGGGCGUAAAGCGCGCGUAGGCGGUGUGCAUAGUCAGAGGUGAAAGCCCGGAGCUCAACUCCGGAACUGCCUUUGAUACUGGCAUGCUAGAAUCCGUGAGAGGGUAGUGGAAUUCCUAGUGUAGAGGUGAAAUUCGUAGAUAUUAGGAAGAACACCAGUGGCGAAGGCGACUACCUGGCACGGCAUUGACGCUGAGGUGCGAAAGCGUGGGGAGCGAACAGGAUUAGAUACCCUGGUAGUCCACGCCGUAAACGAUGAGUGCUAGUUGUCGGGAUGUUUACAUCUUGGUGACGUAGCUAACGCGUUAAGCACUCCGCCUGGGGAGUACGGCCGCAGGCUAAACUCAAGGAUUGACGG
RNAcentral lists this ribosomal RNA (870 nucleotides) under uncultured marine bacterium. RNAcentral describes it as "bacterial SSU rRNA". It matches the Rfam family "Bacterial small subunit ribosomal RNA", at positions 8 to 916 of the family's 1533-position model. The record is from RNAcentral.